CGGGUCCCGUCUGGUGUGGAGGUCUGCAAGCGCAAUGGCCCGGGCACUGGUAUAUGCCCGCUCUGUGGGGUCCCUGAAGACUCGAACCACAUUUUCUUCGCUUGCGUCUCCGCUCAGUUCCUCUGGAGCUGUUUUCGCGAGGUUGUCGAUGGAAGUUGGUGCCACACCAAUUUCCCGGACUUAUUUGCUGAACUCCAGAUGUCCCCCGUGUCCUCUCGCCACAUUAGGUGGCUUGAGGUUGGGGUUCUUGCCUGGACUCUUUGGACCGUUCGCAAUAAGCUUGUGAUCCAGCGUACCCCCCUUCCUCGCGCUACUGACGCUCUCUACAAACUCUCGGGUUUCUUGCAGCUUUGGCGGCCGCUUAGCCGCCCCCUGGACCGUGACGCCAUCUCCGCCUUCAUCGCCGACCUCCGCUCGAUGGCCGUCCGCCUGUCGCCGCCGCCCCCUCCGCCCCCGCCGGAUCCAGACUAG
This 471-nucleotide ribosomal RNA is filed under the name Triticum aestivum (bread wheat). RNAcentral describes it as "partial small subunit ribosomal RNA". Lineage: Eukaryota; Viridiplantae; Streptophyta; Magnoliopsida; Poales; Poaceae. The record is from RNAcentral.